Molecule: long non-coding RNA, 514 nt
Organism: Oncorhynchus tshawytscha (Chinook salmon)
Lineage: Eukaryota; Metazoa; Chordata; Actinopteri; Salmoniformes; Salmonidae
Source: Ensembl
CGCACCCCAUACUGUAUACACAAACGGAGGGAAGAGAAAUCCUAGCAGUUCUCUUGAUUCCAUUUCACUGUCGAAACGAUACUGGAGCACUUUUUUUGCACAUACCUAAAGGAAAAUCCCAAAUAACGAGCACCUAGCGACUUUGUUUAAGUGCAAUAGAGGAACUGUACGAGACAGUUUGCCCGUACACGGUGCGUUGCGGAGGGAUUUAGAAAUAAAAACCCAGUGUUGUGCAGUUGCAUUCCCUACCACUUCACUUGCGCUGGAUACGGGGAGGCUUUGACUUUUUUCAUCCCAGUUUCUGUCUCAAAACAACCGUAUUCUCGUCUAAAUCUGCUGAAGAACCUGACGGGGUCUGCGUUUUCAAACCAGAUGGCCCAGCUGCGUGACAGUAUUCACCUGGGUGACUGAUCUUAUCCGGUCCAGUCCAUUCGUCAGUCCCAGGGCCAGCACAGGGGGGUCGCUCCGGAGGCCAGAGCCCAUCCGGACCGGGACCCUGUGAUGUCGCACUGAC